This 253-nucleotide ribosomal RNA is filed under the name uncultured bacterium. Its description in RNAcentral is "partial 16S ribosomal RNA". It matches the Rfam family "Bacterial small subunit ribosomal RNA", at positions 524 to 776 of the family's 1533-position model. The record is from RNAcentral.
UACGGAGGGGGCUAGCGUUGUCCGGAAUUACUGGGCGUAAAGGGCGCGUAGGCGGCGCGGAUAGUCGGCGGUGAAAGCCCGGAGCUCAACUCCGGGUCGGCCGUCGAUACUUCCGGGCUUGAGCACUGUAGAGGCAGAUGGAAUUCCGGGUGUAGCGGUGGAAUGCGUAGAGAUCCGGAAGAACACCGGUGGCGAAGGCGGUCUGCUGGGCAGUUGCUGACGCUGAUGCGCGACAGCGUGGGGAGCAAACAGG